CCUUCGGGUGGCAGCAGUGGGGAAUAUUGCACAAUGGGGGAAACCCUGAUGCAGCGACGCCGCGUGAGUGAAGAAGUAAUUCGUUAUGUAAAGCUCUAUCAGCAGGGAAGAAAAUGACGGUACCUGAGUAAGAAGCCCCGGCUAACUACGUACCAGCAGCCGCGGUAAUACGUAGGGGGCAAGCGUUAUCCGGAUUUACUGGGUGUAAAGGGAGCGUAGACGGCAGUGCAAGUCGGGAGGGAAAGGCGGGGGCUCAACCCCCGGACUGCCCUGGAAACUGUACGGCGGGAGUGCAGGAGAGGUGAGGGGAAUUUCCUGUGUAGCGGUGAAAUGCGGAGAUAUUAGGAGGAACACCAGUGGCGAAGGCGGCUUACUGGACUGUAACUGACGUUGAGGCUCGAAAGCGUGGGGAGCAAACAGGAUUAGAUACCCUUGUAGUC
This 440-nucleotide ribosomal RNA is filed under the name uncultured bacterium. Its description in RNAcentral is "partial 16S ribosomal RNA". It matches the Rfam family "Bacterial small subunit ribosomal RNA", at positions 338 to 795 of the family's 1533-position model. The record is from RNAcentral.